RNAcentral lists this ribosomal RNA (306 nucleotides) under Triticum aestivum (bread wheat). RNAcentral describes it as "partial small subunit ribosomal RNA". Lineage: Eukaryota; Viridiplantae; Streptophyta; Magnoliopsida; Poales; Poaceae. The record is from RNAcentral.
AUGCAGAAGAGUAUAAGAGACAAAAUUACCUGCUGGAAAAGAUUGCAGGAGGACUCAGUGCGACUCAAGAGAUUAAAUACACUAUACAUUCUUCCAUUCUUCUAUUUCUUUCACCUGAUUGGUUCACACAAAAAAUGUAAAAGGAAAGCCAAUGGCGGGGCGGAGAGUACCAACUUCACGGUACGAAUAGCAUCUUAUCAACCAAGUAAAAGUAGGGGCAGCGACUGUACUACUUGCUUGAUUGCAUCAAUCCCAAAUGCUCUAGUUAGAAAAAUGUUGUUUGCACAUUUUUAUGGUCCAACAUGA